ACUCCUACGGGAGGCAGCAGUGGGGAAUAUUGCACAAUGGGGGAAACCCUGAUGCAGCCAUGCCGCGUGUGUGAAGAAGGCCUUGGGUUGUAAAGCACUUUCAGUAGGGAGGAAGGUAGUGUAGUUAACACCUGCAUUAUUUGUACGUUACCUACAGAAGAAGCACCGGCUAACUCCGUGCCAGCAGCCGCGGUAAUACGGAGGGUGCGAGCGUUAAUCGGAAUUACGUGGGCGUAAAGCGCAUGCAGGCGGCCUGUUAAGUCAGAUGUGAAAGCCCGGGGUCUUAACCUCGGAAUUGCAUUUGAAACUGGCAGGCUAGAGUCUUGUAGAGGGGUUAGAAUUUCAGGUGUAGCGGUGAAAUGCGUAGAGAUCUGAAGG
RNAcentral lists this ribosomal RNA (378 nucleotides) under uncultured bacterium. Its description in RNAcentral is "bacterial SSU rRNA". It matches the Rfam family "Bacterial small subunit ribosomal RNA", at positions 335 to 704 of the family's 1533-position model. The record is from RNAcentral.